AGUGAACGCUGGCGGUAGGCCUAACACAUGCAAGUCGAACGGCAGCACAGUAAGAGCUUGCUCUUACGGGUGGCGAGUGGCGGACGGGUGAGGAAUACAUCGGAAUCUACUUUUUCGUGGGUGAUAACGUAGGGAAACUUACGCUAAUACCGCAUACGACCUACGGGUGAAAGCAGGGGAUCUUCGGACCUUGCGCGAUUGAAUGAGCCGAUGUCGGAUUAGCUAGUUGGCGGGGUAAUGGCCCACCAAGGCGACGAUCCGUAGCUGGUCUGAGAGGAUGAGCAGCGAAACUGGAACGGAGACACGGACCAGAAUCCUACGGGAGGAAGCAGUGGGGAAUAUUGGACAAUGGGCGAAAGCCUGAUCCAGCAAUACCGCGUGGGUGAAGAAGGCCUUCGGGUUGUAAAGCCCUUUUGUUGGGAAAGAAAAGCAGCAGGUUAAUACCCCGCUGUUCUGACGGUACCAAAAGAAUAAGCACCGGCUAACUUCGUG
This 492-nucleotide ribosomal RNA is filed under the name uncultured bacterium. RNAcentral's name for it is "partial 16S ribosomal RNA". It matches the Rfam family "Bacterial small subunit ribosomal RNA", at positions 29 to 507 of the family's 1533-position model. The record is from RNAcentral.